AGUGAACGCUGGCGGUAGGCCUAACACAUGCAAGUCGAACGGCAGCACAGUAAGAGCUUGCUCUUACGGGUGGCGAGUGGCGGACGGGUGAGGAAUACAUCGGAAUCUACUUUUUCGUGGGGGAUAACGUAGGGAAACUUACGCUAAUACCGCAUACGACCUACGGGUGAAAGCAGGGGAUCUUCGGACCUUGCGCGAGUGAAUGAGCCGAUGUCGGAUUAGCUAGUUGGCGGGGUAAAGGCCCACCAAGGCGACGAUCCGUAGCUGGUCUGAGAGGAUGAUCAGCCACACUGGAACUGAGACACGGCCCAGACUCCUACGGGAGGCCGCAGUGGGGAAUAUUGGACAAUGGGCGCAAGCCUGAUCCAGCCAUACCGCGUGGGUGAAGAAGGCCUUCGGGUUGUAAAGCCCUUUUGUUGGGAAAGAAAAGCAGCAGGUUAAUACCCCGCUGUUCUGACGGUACCCAAAGAAUAAGCACCGGCUAACUUCGUG
RNAcentral lists this ribosomal RNA (492 nucleotides) under uncultured bacterium. Its description in RNAcentral is "partial 16S ribosomal RNA". It matches the Rfam family "Bacterial small subunit ribosomal RNA", at positions 29 to 507 of the family's 1533-position model. The record is from RNAcentral.